GGAGGAGGUAAAUUAUAUAUAUAAAAAAACUGCACUGUUGAUUUUUUUUUUAUAAUUAUAUUAUAAACUAAUAAAUUACUAAUUAAACUCCAUAAUUUUUAUAUUUCCUAAUUAUAUCCUACUCUCAACUAGUCUGUUAAUAAUCUAAUGGACUUGCCACGUCAAACCCCUAUUAAUUUUAAUUAAUUUAAAAAAAAAUAAAAUGAAGAAAUUUUAAAAACAAAUAUCUAUCUUCUUCCCCAAAAUCGAAAGCUUCUACCGGUUUUUCCCAAACUCAAAACCUUCUUUUUCUAUUCUUUAAAUCAAAGCUCCAAAAAAUACUUUCAUAUCUAUAAGUGAUGGCUCCCCCAGCCUGAAGCCAAGAAGUCUCAAGGUGAUUUAGGGGUUGGCAUGGUGAGUCCGUUAGGUCAUUAACGAACCAGUUGACAGUAGAUUGUUAUUAGGAAAACAUAAAAAAUAUAGAAUUUUAAUUGAUAAUUUAUUUAAUUUAUAAUAUAAUUGGAAAAAAUUUGAAAGUAUAGAU
RNAcentral lists this unclassified non-coding RNA (523 nucleotides) under Hevea brasiliensis (rubber tree). Lineage: Eukaryota; Viridiplantae; Streptophyta; Magnoliopsida; Malpighiales; Euphorbiaceae. The record is from RNAcentral.